This 510-nucleotide ribosomal RNA is filed under the name uncultured marine eukaryote. RNAcentral's name for it is "SSU rRNA". It matches the Rfam family "Eukaryotic small subunit ribosomal RNA", at positions 636 to 995 of the family's 1831-position model. The record is from RNAcentral.
UGAAUUGUGGAGUAUGGCCACGGGAUUCAGUCCUUUUCCCACGGUCUAGGAACGUCCCGACCAUACUCCGAGAACGUCAGAAACUAAGAUCACGGAAGCGUUUUUUACAAACUGCCACCGACUACGCGAGCAAUGUUCGCUGGUGGACGUCCGUGUUUUUUACUGUGACUAAAGAAGUGCGACCAAGGCAGUCCAUCGACAUGAAUUAGAAAGCAUGGGAUAACAAAGCAGCAGCCUAUGAGCUACCGUUUAGGCUUUUGUUGGUUUUAAAGGUUCGUGGGAGAUUACGGGCGUGUAGGACCGGCGUUGGGGGUUUUCCAAAAUCCCCGCGUCUCCUCCUGGCAUCGGAAACGGUGCUUGCGGGGCCUGCUUCGCUCAGGAAUGAAGGAGGGUUGCUCGGGGGAAAACGUACUUGGGCGUGAGAGGUGAAAUUCUUAGACCGCCCAAAGACGAACUACAGCGAAGGCAUUUUCCAAGGAUACCUUCCUCAAUCAAGAACCAAAGUGUGGG